GUAACGGCGAGUGAAGCGGCAACAGCUCAAAUUUGAAAUCUGGCUCUCGGGCCCGAGUUGUAAUUUGUAGAGGAUGCUUUUGGUGAGGUGCCUUCCGAGUUCCCUGGAACGGGACGCCAUAGAGGGUGAGAGCCCCGUCUGGUUGGACACCGAUCCUCUGUAAAGCUCCUUCGACGAGUCGAGUAGUUUGGGAAUGCUGCUCUAAAUGGGAGGUAUAUGUCUUCUAAAGCUAAAUACCGGCCAGAGACCGAUAGCGCACAAGUAGAGUGAUCGAAAGAUGAAAAGAACUUUGAAAAGAGAGUUAAAAAGUACGUGAAAUUGUUGAAAGGGAAGCGCUUGUGACCAGACUUGGGCUUGGUUGAUCAUCCGGGGUUCUCCCCGGUGCACUCUUCCGGCUCAGGCCAGCAUCAGUUCGCCCUGGGGGAUAAAGGCUUCGGGAAUGUGGCUCUCUCCGGGGAGUGUUAUAGCCCGCUGCGUAAUACCCUGUGGCGGACUGAGGUUCGCGCAUUCGCAAGGAUGCUGGCGUAAUGGUCAUCAGUGACCCGUCUUGAAACACGGACCAAGGAGUCGUCUUCGUAUGCGAGUGUUCGGGUGUCAAACCCCUACGCGAAAUGAAAGUGAACGCAGGUGAGAGCUUCGGCGCAUCAUCGACCGAUCCUGAUGUUAUCGGAUGGAUUUGAGUAAGAGCAUACGGGGCCGGACCCGAAAGAAGGUGAACUAUGCCUGUGUAGGGUGAAGCCAGAGGAAACUCUGGUGGAGGCUCGCAGCGGUUCUGACGUGCAAAUCGAUCGUCAAACAUGGGCAUGGGGGCGAAAGACUAAUCGAACCUUCUAGUAGCUGGUUUCCGCCGAAGUUUCCCUCAGGAUAGCAGUGUUGAACUCAGUUUUAUGAGGUAAAGCGAAUGAUUAGGGACUCGGGGGCGCUAUUUAGCCUUCAUCCAUUCUCAAACUUUAAAUAUGUAAGAAGCCCUUGUUGCUUAAUUGAACG
Molecule: ribosomal RNA, 987 nt
Filed under: Fusarium falciforme
Lineage: Eukaryota; Fungi; Ascomycota; Sordariomycetes; Hypocreales; Nectriaceae
Description: partial large subunit ribosomal RNA
Rfam family: Eukaryotic large subunit ribosomal RNA
Source: RNAcentral